GGCGCACCCCGUCCGUCCCCCCUUCUGUACGUCCCCGGUCGGUCCAGCGGCUCCACACGCGCCUACCGACACACAAGAAACUCUUGCCAUUAUGUUUGCUUCUGACGCAAUCAUGACAGAAUUACGUUCUAUUGAUAUGCAUGCUGCCAUUGCUUUGGAGUCGGUCUUUUGAAUUUCUGCGUUUUUUUUUUUUUUUUGAUCGGCUCCACUCUCCAGACAGCUGGCUCAGCCUGAUCGACCAGAGCAAUGCGACACCUAUACCAACUUGAUACCAACCUACUUGGCGGGGUGGUCAAUUCAUGAAGUGCGAAUGCGAAACAUGGCAAUAGAUGGCGGCAGGCGGAACGAACAGCAUGGGGAAGGCUGGGACACGCAUUGAGAAAUGAAAUCCGUCACUUCCCAGAUUUCGAACGCAUCCAUAGAGUGCAUUACUUUUAUGUGCUUGCGUUCGGUCUUGGGAUUUCUCAGCAGAUGUCGCCAACAGUAGAGAGAUUGAUCUAGAAUGUCUCGUUAUCGGAAAAGUAUGGUAGCCAUACACCAAAUGGUUUUUGCGUAUAGCUACCAUAUUACUUCCGAUAUGACUGUUGACAUUACUGCGGAUAUGACGGAGCAGUGCAUUGGCAAUAUGCCAAGGGCAGUAACAUGCCGUCAGUCACGUCAGUCAUCGGCCUUGGCUAUCUGUAAGAAUCUUGGCAGGAAUCUUGGCCUUUUCUUGGACCCAUAGCCUCGGCCUUCGACCAAUCAUAUCGCCGAAUUCGCAGGCGGUGAGAGACAAAUACGGCGUGCCAAAGACAUAUUGGGUGUCUCAAAAUCACUGAGAACUCUAUAGCUCAAAACUGAAGCCCUGCACUCUUUUAUAUCUACCCCGUAACCCGUUGAGUGGCAUUCUUGUGAAAAUUAUGUAAAGAUAUUUAUCAGAAUAAGGUAGAAGUGUAGGGGGUGGCAGGUGAGGUGCAGAAGGAGAAGAAGAAGAAGUUGUACCUAUCCAGUAAUUUUAUCUUGAUUUGUGGAUUAGACGAAGACUAGAUUUUGAUGAAGAAAUCGACAAACUUGAACUGCAGGACUCGUGGCGCUGCUCGCCUCUUCGCCAAUGCGAAUGCGUUCUCUGAGGACAACCCGCCCAAGGCUACCAUGACGAAGCCACGCCACCGCGCCGGCUAUAGACUCACGGCCUGAAGCGAGUUUGGGCGCGACGGCUGGCGAGCCAAGGCGGCGGAAAGUCGUCUGGCGGAGCUCCCGUCUGAGGCGAGCUUGAUCUGGUCAGACAGCUCCGCCACCGAUGGUGUGCUAGAUGGAGGAGGAGGGGCCACCCCCCCCCCCUGAACCGCGACAUCCGAGAGGUGCGUGUCGCGGCAGGCGCCCUCUGCUUUAGCACGCGCGGCGAGCUAUUCGCCCUAAGAGCGGUGUUGGAGGAGCUGGCCGGACGGAUGGUACCGGUCGAUAUGGGUCGACCGCCGUCUAUCCCAACGGUAGCGCCGAUCGACGUGGGCACUUUCUGCAAGGCAGGCGCGCGCGCGCGACAGGCGCGCCACGGCAGGCGCGCGCGCGACGCUGCGCGCGCCUGGCAGCGGAACUGGCCGGACGGAUGGUACCGGUCGAUAUGGGUCGACCGCUGUCCUGGCUCCGUCCUGGAGGCCGACCGUGCAGUCGUUAUCGACAUCCGCCAGUACCUGCUCUGCAUCGGCCGCCUCCCGAGGCCGGAUGCCCACAAUGCAACGACGUGGAGUGCCCUGCUGCCCGAUGCCGCGUCUGCCGCGAAGAGGCUGGCACUCCACGGUAUGUGCUGCUGCGAUGCGCGGCGCUGGCGGUGUUGCGACAAAGAGCCUCGGCAGCUGAACUGCUUCAAGCGACGUAACGAUAUCUGCCCUCCCCUCCCCUAUCGAGCCGCGUGGGUGUGGACGGACGGGUCGGCAGACGCGAGAAUUUGCAGCGAAGGAGCUGGGGUCUACGGGGAGUAGCAGCACGAAUGGACUGAUGAGCCGCGUGUCCCGGCCGGUCCAUUCUGCUGUUCCAGCUCCAGGACCGGCCGCGCCGUCGCCACCCGUCCGGCGUCAGUGGAGGACCGCUCAUCAGCUGUCGAUUUUCAUCAGUUUCGUUUGGACCACUGGUCGGGCUCCUGCCAGUGCCGACAUUGGGUUGGGCGGAGUCCUACCGAUGAAUGCCGCGAGUGCUGCAACAUUGGCUCGGUACAUCUCGGUACAUUUUCCCGAGUCUGGUGUGGCUACGGGGAGACGGAUUUGGUGACCCUGGCUGCCGCCGUGAGAACCAUCCAGAACCGUACGGCUAUGCUGCGGCAGCGGCUGAAAGGAACGCAACAACAAUAAC
Long non-coding RNA from Amphibalanus amphitrite, 2325 nucleotides. RefSeq lists it as uncharacterized. Lineage: Eukaryota; Metazoa; Arthropoda; Thecostraca; Balanomorpha; Balanidae. The record is from RefSeq and is a predicted model, not a curated record. The transcript is spliced from 3 exons.